This 1152-nucleotide ribosomal RNA is filed under the name Salmonella enterica subsp. enterica serovar Chester. Its description in RNAcentral is "partial 23S ribosomal RNA". It matches the Rfam family "Bacterial large subunit ribosomal RNA", at positions 161 to 1251 of the family's 2925-position model. Lineage: Bacteria; Pseudomonadati; Pseudomonadota; Gammaproteobacteria; Enterobacterales; Enterobacteriaceae. The record is from RNAcentral.
AAUCCAUAGGUUAAUGAGGCGAACCGGGGGAACUGAAACAUCUAAGUACCCCGAGGAAAAGAAAUCAACCGAGAUUCCCCCAGUAGCGGCGAGCGAACGGGGAGGAGCCCAGAGCCUGAAUCAGCAUGUGUGUUAGUGGAAGCGUCUGGAAAGGCGCGCGAUACAGGGUGACAGCCCCGUACACAAAAGCGCAUGUGCUGUGAGCUCGAUGAGUAGGGCGGGACACGUGGUAUCCUGUCUGAAUAUGGGGGGACCAUCCUCCAAGGCUAAAUACUCCUGACUGACCGAUAGUGAACCAGUACCGUGAGGGAAAGGCGAAAAGAACCCCGGCGAGGGGAGUGAAAAAGAACCUGAAACCGUGUACGUACAAGCAGUGGGAGCCCCACCACUAAGCCAGUGGUGAACUCCACAUACGCAUCCUUUGCUGAGGAUACGGUUAACGGAGCGAAAGCGACGUUCAACCGCAAAAGAAGCAGAGGGGGCUUAGUGGUGGGGUGACUGCGUACCUUUUGUAUAAUGGGUCAGCGACUUAUAUUCUGUAGCAAGGUUAACCGUAUAGGGGAGCCGGAGGGAAACCGAGUCUUAAUUGGGCGUUAAGUUGCAGGGUAUAGACCCGAAACCCGGUGAUCUAGCCAUGGGCAGGUUGAAGGUUGGGUAACACUAACUGGAGGACCGAACCGACUAAUGUUGAAAAAUUAGCGGAUGACCUGUGGCUGGGGGUGAAAGGCCAAUCAAACCGGGAGAUAGCUGGUUCUCCCCGAAAGCUAUUUAGGUAGCGCCUCGUGAAUUCAUCUCCGGGGGUAGAGCACUGUUUCGGCUAGGGGGCCAUCCCGGCUUACCAACCCGAUGCAAACUGCGAAUACCGGAGAAUGUUAUCACGGGAGACACACGGCGGGUGCUAACGUCCGUCGUGAAGAGGGAAACAACCCAGACCGCCAGCUAAGGUCCCAAAGUCAUGGUUAAGUGGGAAACGAUGUGGGAAGGCCCAGACAGCCAGGAUGUUGGCUUAGAAGCAGCCAUCAUUUAAAGAAAGCGUAAUAGCUCACUGGUCGAGUCGGCCUGCGCGGAAGAUGUAACGGGGCUAAACCAUGCACCGAAGCUGCGGCAGCGACGCUGAUGCGUUGUUGGGUAGGGGAGCGUUCUGUAAGCCUG